GACGAACGCUGGCGGCGUGCUUAACACAUGCAAGUCGAGCGGUAAGGCCCUUUCGGGGGUACACGAGCGGCGAACGGGUGAGUAACACGUGGGUGACCUGCCCUCAGCUCUGGGAUAAGCCUGGGAAACUGGGUCUAAUACCGGAUAUGACUCCAUGACGCAUGUUGUGGGUGGAAAGCCUUGUGCGGCUGAGGAUGGGCCCGCGGCCUAUCAGCUUGUUGGUGGGGUGAGGCCUACCAAGGCGACGACGGGUAGCCGGCCUGAGAGGGCGACCGGCCACACUGGGACUGAGACACGGCCCAGACUCCUACGGGAGGCAGCAGUGGGGAAUCUUGCGCAAUGGGCGAAAGCCUGACGCAGCGACGCCGCGUGAGGGAU
Molecule: ribosomal RNA, 378 nt
Filed under: uncultured bacterium
Lineage: Bacteria
Description: bacterial SSU rRNA
Rfam family: Bacterial small subunit ribosomal RNA
Source: RNAcentral